Molecule: ribosomal RNA, 1084 nt
Filed under: Vibrio cholerae
Lineage: Bacteria; Pseudomonadati; Pseudomonadota; Gammaproteobacteria; Vibrionales; Vibrionaceae
Description: bacterial SSU rRNA
Rfam family: Bacterial small subunit ribosomal RNA (bases 438-1084)
Source: RNAcentral
CUAAGCGUACACGGUGGAUGCCUGGGCAGUCAGAGGCGAUGAAGGACGUACUAACUUGCGAUAAGCGCAGAUAAGGCAGUAAGAGCCGUUUGAGUCUGCGAUUUCCGAAUGGGGAAACCCAACUGCAUAAGCAGUUACUGUUAACUGAAUACAUAGGUUAACAGAGCAAACCGGGGGAACUGAAACAUCUAAGUACCCCGAGGAGAAGAAAUCAACCGAGAUUCCGGUAGUAGCGGCGAGCGAACCUGGAUUAGCCCUUAAGCACUCGGUGAAGUAGGUGAACAAGCUGGAAAGCUUGGCGAUACAGGGUGAUAGCCCCGUAACCGACGCUUCAUCGAGCGUGAAAUCGAGUAGGGCGGGACACGUGAUAUCCUGUCUGAAUAUGGGGGGACCAUCCUCCANGUGGCUUUCGGAGCUAACGCGUUAAGUAGACCGCCUGGGGAGUACGGUCGCAAGAUUAAAACUCAAAUGAAUUGACGGGGGCCCGCACAAGCGGUGGAGCAUGUGGUUUAAUUCGAUGCAACGCGAAGAACCUUACCUACUCUUGACAUCCAGAGAAUCUAGCGGAGACGCUGGAGUGCCUUCGGGAGCUCUGAGACAGGUGCUGCAUGGCUGUCGUCAGCUCGUGUUGUGAAAUGUUGGGUUAAGUCCCGCAACGAGCGCAACCCUUAUCCUUGUUUGCCAGCACGUAAUGGUGGGAACUCCAGGGAGACUGCCGGUGAUAAACCGGAGGAAGGUGGGGACGACGUCAAGUCAUCAUGGCCCUUACGAGUAGGGCUACACACGUGCUACAAUGGCGUAUACAGAGGGCAGCGAUACCGCGAGGUGGAGCGAAUCUCACAAAGUACGUCGUAGUCCGGAUUGGAGUCUGCAACUCGACUCCAUGAAGUCGGAAUCGCUAGUAAUCGCAAAUCAGAAUGUUGCGGUGAAUACGUUCCCGGGCCUUGUACACACCGCCCGUCACACCAUGGGAGUGGGCUGCAAAAGAAGCAGGUAGUUUAACCUUCGGGAGGACGCUUGCCACUUUGUGGUUCAUGACUGGGGUGAAGUCGUAACAAGGUAGCGCUAGGGGAACCUGGCGCUG